UUGCUCCUUUGCCGGCGAGUGGCGCACGGGUGCGUAACGCGUAUACAACCUACCUUAUACAGGGGUAUAGCCCAGGGAAACUUGGAUUAACACCCCAUAGUAAUAUGUUUUGGCAUCAUUACAUAUUUAAAACUACGGUGGUAUAAGAUGGGUAUGCGUCCCAUUAGCUUGUUGGUGUGGUAACGGCACACCAAGGCUACGAUGGGUAGGGGCCCUGAGAGGGGGAUCCCCCACACUGGUACUGAGACACGGACCAGACUCCUACGGGAGGCAGCAGUGAGGAAUAUUGGACAAUGGGCGGGAGCCUGAUCCAGCCAUGCCGCGUGCAGGAAGACUGCCCUAUGGGUUGUAAACUGCUUUUAUACGGGAAGAAACCCACCUACGUGUAGGUGGCUGACGGUACCGUAAGAAUAAGGACCGGCUAACUCCGUGCCAGCAGCCGCGGUAAUACGGAGGGUCCGAGCGUUAUCCGGAAUCAUUGGGUUUAAAGGGUCCGCAGG
RNAcentral lists this ribosomal RNA (500 nucleotides) under Croceibacter sp. Ar-95. RNAcentral's name for it is "bacterial SSU rRNA". It matches the Rfam family "Bacterial small subunit ribosomal RNA", at positions 80 to 575 of the family's 1533-position model. The record is from RNAcentral. Lineage: Bacteria; Pseudomonadati; Bacteroidota; Flavobacteriia; Flavobacteriales; Flavobacteriaceae.